This 63-nucleotide transfer RNA is filed under the name Elliptio icterina. RNAcentral describes it as "tRNA-Thr". Lineage: Eukaryota; Metazoa; Mollusca; Bivalvia; Unionida; Unionidae. The record is from RNAcentral.
GCUUUGAGAAGCUAUUGAGCAUUGGUCUUGUAAACCAAAGAUAAGAAAAACCUCUCCAAAGCA